RNAcentral lists this long non-coding RNA (4079 nucleotides) under Daucus carota (carrot). Its description in RNAcentral is "long non-coding RNA (DCAR_LNC006143)". The record is from RNAcentral. Lineage: Eukaryota; Viridiplantae; Streptophyta; Magnoliopsida; Apiales; Apiaceae.
CUUUUGCUAUUUGCAACAGCAGCCUGCCUAGCUCACUAACUACACUGCUCACUGGUCGUUGGCUCGUUGCUUCACAUAUUCAUCCCGCGGCAGCCGGCUGCUCUCUAGUCUCUCCCUCUCAAGAUUCAAUCGGUGCUUUACGAUCUCACUUACUUUCUGAAUUUCACGGUACGAUAUUUUGAUUGAUUCUUGGAUAAAUUUUUAGUUUUUAAAACUUUUGCAUCUUUUGUGAUUUCAUAUAUUGAAACUGUUAAUCGGGGUCCGGGUUCCUCAGGAAUUAGAGUUUGAAGGGUGCUCUCUUUUAUUUUGUAUAAUCUUUUGUGAUUUUUCUUUUAUUUUAUCUGUUUGAUAAUUCUUAUUGAUUCAUGGUGUGGUAGUCUAAUUUGGUACUCCCGAGUUAAAUCUUUAAAUUACCAGGACUCAGCUAGGAGGCAAGGUCUUAAUUAUUAAUUACUUAGUGCUUGUUUGGUUGACAUCUAGAUAUGUGGGCAGUAGAAGUUCCUAGGAAGUAGUAUUUGAUUAAACUGUUUGAUUGACAUUAAUUGGGGAAGUGUAAGUUCCCUAGAAUUUUAAAUGCCUAUAAAACAUAGGAAGUAUAAAACAUAGGAAGUUAUUGACCUAGACCCCCUUGGUAACUUGCACUUACUGUAGGAAGUUGAAACCUAUCUAUCAACCAAACACAAAUUUUAACUUCCCAUUUAUUAUAAUUUCCAUAGUAAUUUCAAAUUACAUAGGAUUUAACUUCCUAUUGGUAACCAAACAAGCACUUAGUACAUCAUCCUGAUUUCUAAGCACUGCAAUGCUGAGUUGUCGACAAUUGUGUACUGUAAUUUCUUGUGUUUCCUUUCAUGCCUAGUUCGUCGCUAUUGCCUAUUAGAAUUGUAUCAUUAUGUGCUACUAUGUCGUAAUAAUUAUCAUAAUGGCCUCUAGAAAAGAAUGGAUAUGCAGCUCUGUAAUAUUCCUAUGAGUUCGGCAUGCAGUCUGCUUGUGUUUUUUUUCUUUGUAGCUAAAGAAAUAUGCUGAGGGAGACAGAAUCUCCAGCUUGAGAUUUUAUUUUGGGAAUUUUAAUCACUUAUAGUAAUAAGUGUUUUCAGGCUUCCAAUCUAGAGCUUUUGAUUUAGGACCUCGAUUUAUGUAUUUUCUCGUUUUUCACUUAUAUAUCAGAAUGAUUUUGCACUUCGAUUUUGCAGUGUGUAUAUUAGGACUAUGAUCAAGCUUUUCUCCUUUAAAUAAAAUCACCUUUGCCACAGGCCACUCUUAAGUGAUUUGCCUCCCAACUUUUCUAGGAUCUUUUUUCCUCCUUUCUUUGAGAAUUCAUUGUUUCUUUGUAGCUAAAGAAAUACUCAUUACCUUGUCUCUGAGUUUCAAGUCUUGAACUUUGUUUUUCUCAGUCUCUCCUCCUAAAUGUUGCUACCAAAUUUCUUUUGCCUAGACUUCUUGUGGAAUUCUUGUAACAAAAAUUGCACAUUAUGAUUCCUCUUUGACCAGACCUCCGAGCAUUCUCAUUUUCCCUAAAUUUCACUAUUUACUAAUCGGGCUCAUCCAAGAUCUUUUCAUUAGUUUUCACCUUGUCCUCAUUUUGGACAUGCUUGAGAGCAUCAGCAUAAGAUCUUCUCAUAGCAAUCCUUCCAUCUUUCUUAUUCUUAUCUUCUCCUCUUUAUUGUCCAUUCUAUACUUUUCGAGGUUCGUGGGAUGAAGCAGAGUUCUAUUAGUGGAUUUGGUUCAACGCCAUUCUAACUACUUUAUAUCUCCUUCCCUUUCGAACAUCUAAAUCAGAAAGGUCUCAACAAAAUUAACUAAAGAUCACAACUAUCUCAAAUUUCUUCUCUAUUAUCUAUUCUAUUUCUCUCCAUUCCAAUCUUCAGCCCUCUCCGGUUACCUUUUCCAAAAUUUACGAUCAACCAUCAGUUCACUGAUUCUUUCAAAUUCAGAUUGGUGUUAAAGUUUGUUUCUAAAUAUCUGGUUUAUUAUAUAAACAAUGAAAAUAAUGUAGAUCUGAAAAGGAAUUUAAUACAAUUCAGCGUUGACAAAAGCUAGUAUUCCAACGUUACAUCACAUAGUUGGGAAUCACACACUAUUACUUGCAGGAAGUAAAGUUCUACUACGCACUUCGCCCCUUAGAUUAUAAAUGUAUACAGGAGUGGCACCGAUUACGAAGAAGAGAAUCAGUAGAUUCACACCAGCGCCCAGUGUCGAUUUGUCAGCUAGCAUGACACUAGUUCCUUCAACAAAAGCUACCAUCAUUGAGCAAAUCGCCAAAAAGUUUAAUGCUGCUGUGUUCCGGACUAUGCGUUUUACUUGACUCGCAUCUUUGUUAGAUGAUGUAAAGAAGUAGAGUAAUAACGAGGCAACCGACAACAUCAGGGCAAGUGCAUCAAGGAUAAUAAAAUAGGCAAAAUCAGUUUUUCUUAAAAGAACCGGUGAUCCUUUGCUCCCAUCAAAGCCCCCAGGCACGUUGAAUAGUACUGAGAAGGCCACUGUUGCAAUGAGUGCGGAUACUACCAUAUGGGUGUUGAUCGCUUUUCUGUGCUCCUCAAUUUCUAUGUUGUUAGUUAUUUCAGUAUGUUUCACAAUUCUCUUCCCACUAUCCGCAUUUGGCUCUCUGAGUGUACGCCACAACCACCAAUGCUUUCUAACAUUGGCCUUAAUGAGUGAUGUUCUAACCAAGAGCUGCAAUGAAAGAUUGUUGUAAUCAAAACUCACAGGUGUGAAUGAGAAUUAAUAAGCUAGCUGGUAUAAGUACCUGAUUGGCUAACGUAUGUGUUUCUUGUUCCAAAUGCAGUACGUCCAAGGGGGUGUAAUUGUUGGAAUCGAGUACUUCCCAAUCAACUUCCCACUCUGCUGGUCUUCUAUCUAUGAACAUUGAACGUAACCAUCUCAUCACAAUCCGCGAGGGACGUACUUUCAUCCCUCUUGUUCCCAUCAGCCUAUAAACAAAAAUUCCCAGCUUGGUAGGUGGAGUGGUGUAUUGCCGCUAUUGUCCCUUUUAGUUAAAAGGUUAUUGCUUGCUUGAAAACCACGGGACAAGAUAUAAUCAAUAACACCCUUUCGAUCUUCCUCCACCGCGAUAUGCAAUAUAUUUCGACCACUUCCAUCUGUAAUCUCCCAACAAUCUGGAAAAUGUUUGACAAAUGUCUUCAUGACAUCCACAUUUCCAGUGUAUGCUGCUAUGUGUAAAGGUGUUCUUCCAUACAUCUUGUCUUUAUGGUACGCCACAUAUUUGUCUUCAUCAGCAACUAGAAGUCCAAUUAUUAGUUCCACUAUUGUAUGAAGAUCGUUAUGUGCCGCAUAAUGAAAUACCGUCCAACCAUAAUCAUCUACUUCCUUUAAUAGACCUAUAUUCCAAUCCAAAAGACGUUGCACGCAUUCUGACAUAAGAACAAAAACACAAAACAAGAGUGAUCACUAGAAUAGAUCAGACAUCUGCAUGUAUACACAUUUAUAUAUACAUGAGCUCAAAUGACAAUUAUGUACGAACUUAGCACAAUACAGUACAUAGUAUUAUGCCAAAAAUUUAUUAAUUAUACAUCUGAAAGCUUAUGAACUCACAAAUAAGUAUACCUAUAUAUGUAAGUAACUGAUGUCUUGCUAAUAAGAAUGAAGUGCAAAUUUUUGUCAAUCUUCUUUGUGCUUAGGAGUCUUUAAUUCCCAUUAGAAAUUUUAAGGUUUUUUAUAGUUUGUAUGUACUUCUGAACAGGUAAACUCAAGAAUUUUACUCGAUGAUAACUUUAAGUUUUUCACAAUAAUCUAUGAAAUCACGUGUAGCCAUUUUCAUAUGUUUCUCUUUUCUUUGCUUAUUAGCCAUUUUCAUAUGUAUGUGUUUGUGAAUUUUAGCGAUUUUUCCUCUAACCAUAGAUCCUCCUUUUCCUUUCUUUUAUUAGGUGAUUUAUAUGAUUGGUGAGGUUGGUGAGUGCGUCCCCUACAUCUACAAAUGAUGUUUAUAGUUGGCUAAAAACAAUACUAAAAGAAGAAAUAAAAGUAUUUUCUAUUAAAAAAAUCAAUGCGAUUAAGUAGAAUGGUAAGGGUUUUUGGGACCAGUAAUGGAUCCCGAGAUAGGCCUUGACGGGGUCUAAGUGGGG